GAGGGAAAAGAAAGGGAGGAAGAAAGGAAAUCGCAGCCAUACGGGCUGUGCUCCCCCAGCUGAACUGUCUCUGCAUUUUAGCGGUGGGAGAAAAGACGCUAUAUGGUGAUGUGCUCCUCCCUCCACCCUGCCAAACUCAUCUGUCAGCCAUUAGUUAAUCAGGGCUGGUAAAACAGAGCACAGAAGAGAGCUGGCACAGCUCGUGGGACCAGAGGACAGCUUCACCUCUGAGAGCAAGAAGAGGGCAAGGACUCAGGGACCUCAGCUUCACCGAUCUACAGCUGGGCUGCUUCACUCACCAGCACCCACUCAGGACUGGCAGGCGUCAACCUCAAGAUGACCCCACCCACUGCUUUACUGUGAACAGAUUUAAAUUGAAGCCAUGACAAGAACCGUGCUUGUGAGGACCAGAGGGACCUUCCAGCCACCGCUACUAUUGCUCACACUGGGCUGGCAUAUGUGCAGGAUCAGGAAACACAAGCCUAAUAAUGUCACAAACAUCUGACCCCAGGGUGACAGGUUUGGAGAGUGUUCUCGCCCACUGCCCUCAGGCCAAAGUCAAGUAUGUCAAUGUUGUGCAUGUGGAUUUCAUUUGAAGCAACAUGAUUAGUUCACAGACGUUCAAUUGCCAUCCCCCCCUCCAUGGGAACCCAACUCUUGACAGGAAACGGUAUGUUUUUGUUAGCAACAAACAGGCAUAAAUUACUAAAAUGGUGCCUUGGUUGCCAAUUUAUCACACACAGCCUUAUUGUUGCUGCCUUCACACACUGACUUUGACAUUGCUUUUAAGGUAAUUACCAUUAGUUAAUGAUAUUUACAUUCCUGAUCCAGUUUGUGUUGAACUGUGUCUGCAAUCAUAAAUUUGUCCAAUAAAUGUGAUCAUUGUG
Long non-coding RNA from Etheostoma cragini (Arkansas darter), 887 nucleotides. RefSeq lists it as uncharacterized. The transcript has 3 exons. The record is from RefSeq and is a predicted model, not a curated record. NCBI's taxonomy places the organism in Eukaryota, Metazoa, Chordata, Actinopteri, Perciformes, Percidae.